This 826-nucleotide ribosomal RNA is filed under the name uncultured fungus. Its description in RNAcentral is "SSU rRNA". It matches the Rfam family "Eukaryotic small subunit ribosomal RNA", at positions 564 to 1389 of the family's 1831-position model. Lineage: Eukaryota; Fungi. The record is from RNAcentral.
GUGCCAGCAGCCGCGGUAAUUCCAGCUCCAAUAGCGUAUAUUAAAGUUGUUGUGGUUAAAAAGCUCGUAGUUGAACCUUGGGCCUGGCUGGCCGGUCCGCCUCACCGCGUGCACUGGUCCGGCCGGGCCUUUCCCUCUGUGGAACCCCAUACCCUUCACUGGGCGUGGCGGGGAAACAGGACAUUUACUUUGAAAAAAUUAGAGUGCUCCAGGCAGGCCUAUGCUCGAAUACAUUAGCAUGGAAUAAUAAAAUAGGACGCGCGGUUCUAUUUUGUUGGUUUAUAGGACCGCCGUAAUGAUUAAUAGGGACAGUCGGGGGCAUCAGUAUUCAACUGUCAGAGGUGAAAUUCUUGGAUCAGUUGAAGACUAACUACUGCGAAAGCAUUUGCCAAGGAUGUUUUCAUUAAUCAGGAACGAAAGUUAGGGGAUCGAAGACGAUCAGAUACCGUCGUAGUCUUAACCAUAAACUAUGCCGACUAGGGAUCGGACGGUGUUAUUCAUGACCCGUUCGGCACCUUACGAGAAAUCAAAGUGCUUGGGCUCCAGGGGGAGUAUGGGUCGCAAGGCUGAAACUUAAAGAAAUUGACGGAAGGGCACCACCAGGGGUGGAGCCUGCGGCUUAAUUUGACUCAACACGGGGAAACUCAUCAGGUCCAGACACAAUAAGGAUUGACAGAUUGAGAGCUCUUUUCUUGAUUUUUGUGGGUGGUGGUUGCAUGACCGUUCUUAGUUGGUGGGGGUGACUUUGUUCUGCUUUAAUUGCGAUAACGAACGAGACUUUAACCUGCUAAAUAGGCCCGCAUCGCUCCGGCCAGGUGCGGCUGGC